UACGUAGGGUGCAAGCGUUGUCCGGAAUUAUUGGGCGUAAAGAGCGUGUAGGCGGCCCGAUUAGUCCGCUGUGAAAGUCCAGGGCUCAACCCUGGAAUGCCGGUGGAUACUGUCGGGCUAGAGUCCGGAAGGGGCGAGUGGAAUUCCUGGUGUAGCGGUGAAAUGCGCAGAUAUCAGGAGGAACACCGGUGGCGAAGGCGGAUCUCUGGGCCGAUACUGACGCUGAGGAGCGAAAGCGUGGGGAGCGAACAGG
RNAcentral lists this ribosomal RNA (253 nucleotides) under uncultured bacterium. RNAcentral's name for it is "partial 16S ribosomal RNA". It matches the Rfam family "Bacterial small subunit ribosomal RNA", at positions 524 to 776 of the family's 1533-position model. The record is from RNAcentral.